RNAcentral lists this ribosomal RNA (346 nucleotides) under uncultured bacterium. Its description in RNAcentral is "partial 16S ribosomal RNA". It matches the Rfam family "Bacterial small subunit ribosomal RNA", at positions 338 to 681 of the family's 1533-position model. The record is from RNAcentral.
CCUACGGGUGGCAGCAGUGAGGAAUAGUGGUCAAUGGGCGCGAGCCUGAACCAGCCAAGUAGCGUGAAGGAUGACUGCCCUACGGGUUGUAAACUUCUUUUAUAAAGGAAUAAAGUGAGGCACGUGUGCCUUUUUGUAUGUACGUUAGGAAUAAGGAUCGGCUAACUCCGUGCCAGCAGCCGCGGUAAUACGGAGGAUCCGAGCGUUAUCCGGAUUUAUUGGGUUUAAAGGGAGCGUCGAGGGGUUGUUAAGUCAGUUGUGAAAGUUUGCGGCUCAACCGUCAAAUUGCACUUGAUACUGGCAGCCUUGCGUCCAGUUCAGGUAGGCGGACUUCGUGGUGUAGCGG